CACGUGUUCAGGUUUGGCUUCAUGGUUUUUAAUUCAAUUGUUUUCCCUAUUUCUGAUCUCCAAGGUGGUUCUCGUUAUACAGAAUCGGAGGGUUCUGUUGCAACUCUUGUUUGCUAACCAGGGGCUGCUGCCAUCCACGGGAAUACCGUGCUUCCUCCAGAAGCUGCCCUUGAAAUUCAGGUCUCUCAUUUGUGGAUGGCAGCACACUUCUUCACUCGUCUGCAACAUUGCCAGGACUUGUAACAUCUAAGAACGACUUCUGGCAUGUUUCCCAGGUCCAGACUCUGGUAUUUUCCCCACCUCAGAACAAAACACUGAAGGACUUUUAGUGAUUUUUAAUGAUUGCACUCUCUUUGUAGGAAACAUAAAAAAUAUACAGAAGUGCCUAAAAAUGAGGACGAAACGUACCUGCAUUUAGGGUGACCAUCUUGUCCUGGUUUGCCCUAGAAUUUCUCGUUUUUAGCACAACAAGUCCAGUAUCCCUGGAAACCCCUCAGUGUCCUCUCAGUCAUGACAGCUGGUCACCCUAUUUGAAUUUUAAAUACUGAGAUUGAACUUGAGCUGAUAUUUUUAUUUUAUUCCUCUUUUCUCUCUUAAUUUCACUGCAUGUACAUAUACAUAUGUAAACAUAUAUGUAUAUAUGUGUUUUUGUAUAUCUACACAUACAUAUACCCAUAUAUCCAUAUGCACAUAUAUAGACAUAAUGCACACAUGAUGAUAUUCACAGCUUAAUUCACUUAACAUUGGUCAUAUACUCUUUCAAAUCAUUUGAUAUCCCUUAGUUGCUUGAAUUUUAAAGACUUCAUAUUGGUCCUCUAUAUAAAGCUCAUUAUAGUUGGGUAUUAUAUUGUUUAUGUUUUCAUUUAAAAAAUAAUUUUAAUUAUUAUUAUGAUGAAAAAGCCAGUUUAAAAACCCUGCCUAUGUCUUUAUUUAUUUCUGUAGGUUUGGAAUUGAUAUAUCACAAAGUAUAAAAUGCUGAGGCUUUGAAUAUCACCAUAGCACUUUCUAGAAAGUUUUACUCUGGACAACAUUUACUAUUUGUAGUAAGCAGAAUAACGGACACCACCACCGCUCUAAUUAGCCUCAUCUAGUCCUUGGAACCUGGGAAUAUGUCACCUUACCUGGCAAAGUGGUCUUUGCAGAUGUGAGUCAGGGUAUGGACCUGGGAGGAGAGUAUCCUGCCUUCUCCAGCUGGGCCCAAUCUACUCACAUGAGUCUUUAGAAGUGUGGGACUCUUUCCUGAUGCUUCAGUGACAGGAGAUGGAAGAAGAAGAGAUUCAAAGUGAGAGGGACUUGGUCCACAUUACUGGAUUUGAAGAUGGAGGAAGGGGGCUCUGGGCCAAGGAUUAUAGCAACUUCUAGAAGCUGGGAAUGGCCCUUACCUGACAGCCAUCAAGAAAAUGACGAUCUCAGUCCAAUGACCCAAAGGAACUGAAUUCUGCCAACAAGCCAAAUGAUCAGGAAAAUUGAUCCUCCUCUAAAGCUUCUAGGAAUUAACACAGCUCUGCCAAUGUCUUGAUUUUAGUGUGAUGAGACCCAAGGCCUACCUCCAACCUCCAGCGCUGUAAUUUUUAUGUUGUUUAAGCCACUAAUUUUGUGCUAAUUUAUUAUGACAGUGGUAGAAAACUAAUAUAUUAUUCUUUAAAAAUGUACGAUGCUUUGUUAAUA
Molecule: long non-coding RNA, 1668 nt
Filed under: Lynx pardinus (Iberian lynx)
Lineage: Eukaryota; Metazoa; Chordata; Mammalia; Carnivora; Felidae
Source: RNAcentral